RNAcentral lists this ribosomal RNA (484 nucleotides) under uncultured bacterium. Its description in RNAcentral is "partial 16S ribosomal RNA". It matches the Rfam family "Bacterial small subunit ribosomal RNA", at positions 30 to 507 of the family's 1533-position model. The record is from RNAcentral.
AUUGAACGCUGGCGGCAGGCCUAACACAUGCAAGUCGAGCGGAUGAAGGGAGCUUGCUCCUGGAUUCAGCGGCGGACGGGUGAGUAAUGCCUAGGAAUCUGCCUGGUAGUGGGGGAUAACGUCCGGAAACGGGCGCUAAUACCGCAUACGUCCUGAGGGAGAAAGUGGGGGAUCUUCGGACCUCACGCUAUCAGAUGAGCCUAGGUCGGAUUAGCUAGUUGGUGGGGUAAAGGCCUACCAAGGCGACGAUCCGUAACUGGUCUGAGAGGAUGAUCAGUCACACUGGAACUGAGACACGGUCCAGACUCCUACGGGAGGCAGCAGUGGGGAAUAUUGGACAAUGGGCGUAAGCCUGAUCCAGCCAUGCCGCGUGUGUGAAGAAGGUCUUCGGAUUGUAAAGCACUUUAAGUUGGGAGGAAGGGCAGUAAGUUAAUACCUUGCUGUUUUGACGUUACCAACAGAAUAAGCACCGGCUAACUUCGUG